This is a long non-coding RNA of Lepus europaeus (European hare), 1644 nucleotides long. RefSeq lists it as uncharacterized. The transcript has 5 exons. The record is from RefSeq and is a predicted model, not a curated record. Lineage: Eukaryota; Metazoa; Chordata; Mammalia; Lagomorpha; Leporidae.
CCGGCCCCUGAGGAUGGGUUGGUCUCCCACCGCCCCUGGCCCGGGAAGCCGCACCUGGCCCCCGCCUGCAGCAGAUGGCCCUAGACGUCCCCGGCCCUGCCUGGAUUUCUCCACAGAAAUGGCUGGAAGCCGAAACACCCUCCGUCUCCAGACUUUUUCUCUUUUUAAAUCCUCCUCCGGGUGGAGAGACCCGAGAGACCGACCCAGAUAAAUUGUGCGCACAUAUUAGGGAGCUGUUUGUGGCUGCCAGCUGGUUCGAGCCGGGGAGGGGAGGCGAUAACUGGAAACGGCGGCGCGAAGGAAAAAAAAAAAAAAAAAAAAAAAAAAGGGCUUGGCCGGAACCCCCGCUAGCGUCUCCUGUGUGCGAAAGGACGGCCGCGGGCUCCCCGGUUGCGCGUUCCGGGCCCCGCGCCGGCCCUGUCCCCAAGCUGCGAGGGCACGGGACCCGCUUGCUCCCCGGGCGAGCAGGGUAGCCGCGCUGAGGAAGCGGGCACCGACCCGAGCGCUCUCCACGGACCGGACGGCACAGCCGUGUCCACGCCGACGGAGCAGUCCCUCGGACCUUUGGACCCUGGAAUAAUUUGCGUCCGAGUUUCCCCGGGGCACCUGCAGGGUGCCCAUGACAACUGAGCGGUGUGGAGAAGCAGCCCGAGACGCUGAGAAGACUGCCCGUCUUGCGCAGAGUACUCCAAAGAUCGGGUCAUUUCCACGCCACUCGCCGCCACCUCUUCCCUUCCGGUCAGGGUCACUCGGCUCCCGCCCUCCGCGCCAGGGAUCCCCUGGCUGCCCUCCAGCGGGUGUCCCAAGACCCGGCUGGGUUGGAGGGGAAGCCAUCAGUCCCUGAAUACAAAGGGAAAAUGAAUCAUUUCUGCUGUGCAGUUUAGGGCUCUUGCCUAGUUUACGACCAACCCGUGUCGUGUCCUCAGGUCUGACAUUGCCGCCCCUGGCCUUCACCAGACAGACCACAGAGCCAAUGGAGGCUGCCCAAUCUUGGACUGUGAACCUUCAAAAUCGAGGACUACGUGGAAGUGGAAAGUUGGACCCAUCCCCAGUGGGCUUUGCCAAAUGGAUACAACUAAGAGCUUGGAGACCUGCCCCUCAGUGCCCUUCUGAGCAAACGCAGCACACCCCAGGAGACUCCCUGCUCCCAAGAACUUGGUGGCUGAUUCGUCUUGGCGGUUCACAAACGUCGGGGCAGACACUUCACAGGCGGACAAACACUGCGACCUCAGAAACGCAUUGACUUGGCAGAGUAAACGGGAAUGGGCUUCAAGCUUCUAAUUCAUUAGAAUUCAUGAAUUAACUCUGGAGGAAAAGAUUGCGUGGGAGAGACAUUUCCGGCCUCACCCUAGUUAUCGAGGGUGCAUGGGCAGGCACGUGCAAGGAUCCAUUUGGGAGUGAGGUGCAUACAAAGGGAAGCUUACUGAAAAGACAGAAACUGAACUCCUGUGCACGUUCCAGGCAAACAUUAUAAAACCUAAUCUGCUAUGCAGCGUGCACGGCAGGGGGCCGGGAGCCACUGAUUGGGCUCAGAAGUCCCCGGAUAUGGGAUGAGUGUUUGGCCUAGUGUUUAAGGUACCCACAUCCCACAUUGGAGUACCUAGGUUCAAUACCUGUCUCUGGCUUCUAACUGCAGCUCCUGCU